AGAGUUUGAUCAUGGCUCAGGACGAACGCUGGCGGCACGCCUAACACAUGCAAGUCGAACGGUGAAGAGGAGCUUGCUCCUCGGAACAGUGGCGGACGGGUGAGUAACACGUGAGCAACCUGGCUCUAAGAGGGGGACAACAGUUGGAAACGACUGCUAAUACCGCAUAACGUAUCGGGAUGGCAUCUUCCUGAUACCAAAGAUUUUAUCGCUUAGAGAUGGGCUCGCGUCUGAUUAGAUAGUUGGCGGGGUAACGGCCCACCAAGUCGACGAUCAGUAGCCGGACUGAGAGGUUGAACGGCCACAUUGGGACUGGAGACACGGCCCAGACUCCUACGGGAGGCAGCA
RNAcentral lists this ribosomal RNA (348 nucleotides) under uncultured bacterium. Its description in RNAcentral is "bacterial SSU rRNA". It matches the Rfam family "Bacterial small subunit ribosomal RNA", at positions 8 to 353 of the family's 1533-position model. The record is from RNAcentral.